GACGAACGCUGGCGGCGUGCUUAACACAUGCAAGUCGAACGGAAAGGCCCUGCUUUUGUGGGGUGCUCGAGUGGCGAGCGGGUGAGUAACACGUGAGUAACCUGCCCUUGACUUUGGGAUAACUUCAGGAAACUGGGGCUAAUACCGGAUAGGAGCUCCUGCUGCAUGGUGGGGGUUGGAAAGUUUCGGCGGUUGGGGAUGGACUCGCGGCUUAUCAGCUUGUUGGUGGGGUAGUGGCUUACCAAGGCUUUGACGGGUAGCCGGCCUGAGAGGGUGACCGGCCACAUUGGGACUUAGGUACGGCCCAGACUCCUACGGGAGGCAGCAGUGGGGAAUAUUGCACAAUGGGCGGAAGCCUGAUGCAGCAACGCCGCGUGCUGGAUGACGGCCUUCGGGUUGUAAACCGCUUUCGCCUGUGACGAAGCGUGAGUGACGGUAAUGGGUAAAGAAGCACCGGCUAACUACGUG
Molecule: ribosomal RNA, 468 nt
Filed under: uncultured bacterium
Lineage: Bacteria
Description: partial 16S ribosomal RNA
Rfam family: Bacterial small subunit ribosomal RNA
Source: RNAcentral